This 497-nucleotide ribosomal RNA is filed under the name uncultured bacterium. Its description in RNAcentral is "partial 16S ribosomal RNA". It matches the Rfam family "Bacterial small subunit ribosomal RNA", at positions 28 to 507 of the family's 1533-position model. The record is from RNAcentral.
GAUGAACGCUGGCGGCGUGCCUAAUACAUGCAAGUCGAGCGAACAGACGAGGAGCUUGCUCCUCUGACGUUAGCCGCGGACGGAUGAGUAACACGUGGAUAACCUACCUAUAAGACUGGGAUAACUUCGUGAAACCGGAGCUAAUACCGGAUAAUAUAUUCAACCGCAUGGUUCAAUAGUGAAAGCCGGUUUUGCUGGACCUUCUAGCUGGAUCCGCGCCGCAUUAGCGAGUUGGUAAGGUAACGGCUUACCAAAGCGGUGAUGCGUAGCCGACCCGAGAGGGGGAAGGGCCCCUCUGGAACUGAGAGACGGCACUGACUCCGACGGGAGGCCGCAGUAGGGAAGCGUCCGCAAUGGGCGAAAGACUGACGGAGCAGCGCCGGGCGAGUGAUGAAGGGCUGCGGAUCGUAAGACUCUGUUAGUAUUGAAGAACAAAUGCGUAAGUAACUAUGCACGUCGUGACGGUACCUAAAGAGAAAGCCCCGGCUAACUACGUG